UCACAGGCCUCCUUUCCACUGCCGGUCACCAUGGCCACUUCUGCCAGGAGCUGUCCCCUCCCCCGGCUAGGCCCCCUCCUGCUUCCACUUGGUCCUGUUGCUGCCGGACACUGGGGCGAGUCAUCUGUCGCAAGAGCAGUAAGUAUUGCACUCCUGAAAUGGUUAAUUUUAAAAACGUGGGUCUGAAGAACCCCUGCACAAAGGCAGUGACCCUCUGGCUCCUUCGCCUCCAGGCCUGGUCUCUAAAGAAGCUGGCCUCCAGGUGGCAGUGCAGAGGAGCGACGCUACCAAAUCUUCCAGAGCUGUCUUUGGAGGGUAGCUUACCCGAGGCCAGGGGCGGAGGGGAGGGGGUGAGGGGUGGGUGCUGAGACCCUCGUGGCUGAAAUGGUGGACUCUGCUGGCUGCUGGGUGGAGGUUUAGGCAGGAGGAGCUGGAAGGGAGAGAGUGGAGGUCCUGAAAGUAAGUGACUGAGAGCUUGAGGAACAGGAGGAGGCUGUGGUCAAAGUGGAGUGGGCCAGCUGAGAGAUGGAAAGUUCCCAGUGAUGGUGAGGUCCAGGGGAGGGGGUGGAGGUGGGGUUGGUAGCUGCAGGGGAACAGGCUGAAGAUCCCUGAAAGGUCAAGGAGAGGAGAGGCCAGGGUGGUGGAUGCUGAAGUCACCCAGGAAGGCGGCCAGACUUGGGUGGGGAGAGGAACCCUAGAGGCAGGUGCCUGAGUCUCCCUACAGCAGGGGGGUUGGGAGGAUGUCUGACACGAGCUGGGUAAAGCAGGUUCAGCUGGAGAGCUGG
Molecule: non-coding RNA, 785 nt
Organism: Vicugna pacos (alpaca)
Lineage: Eukaryota; Metazoa; Chordata; Mammalia; Artiodactyla; Camelidae
Source: RefSeq, a predicted model, not a curated record